UACGGAGGGUGCAAGCGUUGUUCGGAUUCACUGGGUAUAAAGGGUGCGCAGGCGGCCUGGUAAGUCAGAGGUGAAAUAUGACGGCUAAACCGUCAAACUGCCUCUGAAACUGUCAGGCUUGAGUCCGGGAGAGGAAGGUGGAAUUCCAGGUGUAGCGGUGAAAUGCGUAAAUAUCUGGAGGAACACCGGUGGCGAAGGCGGCCUUCUGGCCCGGAACUGACGCUCAGGCACGAAAGCUAGGGGAGCGAACGGGAUUAGAUACCCUCGUA
This 269-nucleotide ribosomal RNA is filed under the name uncultured prokaryote. RNAcentral's name for it is "partial 16S ribosomal RNA". It matches the Rfam family "Bacterial small subunit ribosomal RNA", at positions 524 to 792 of the family's 1533-position model. The record is from RNAcentral.